AUGUAUAGCCGGGCGGUGGUGGCACACACCUUUAAUCCCAGCACUUGGGAGUCAGAGGCAGGAGGAUCUCUGUGAGCUCAAAGUCA
Molecule: microRNA precursor, 86 nt
Filed under: Mesocricetus auratus (golden hamster)
Lineage: Eukaryota; Metazoa; Chordata; Mammalia; Rodentia; Cricetidae
Description: miRNA (ENSMAUG00000005746.1)
Source: RNAcentral